This 648-nucleotide long non-coding RNA is filed under the name Gallus gallus (chicken). Its description in RNAcentral is "lncRNA (ENSGALG00010018711.1)". The record is from RNAcentral. Lineage: Eukaryota; Metazoa; Chordata; Aves; Galliformes; Phasianidae.
CUAAAGACAGGUUGCAUUGGGCUGGAUGGCUAUCAGCAGCUCAUCUCCUGGAACAACAGCAGCCAAGAGAGCGGCACAGCAGAAGCUGCGGUGAUGUCAAGACCCCAAAGCCACACGAGUGAGAUGCAAACCCACGGCGAAACCAAGGAAGACGUAGUGAAUUCUGCAUGAGUGGUUUGAAGAGAGGGGAACCCCACCAUCUACAUGCAGAGAAGUGGGACGUGGGCAACACCUAUUGUACAGCUGCUCUCCAUCACUUGGCGUGAACAAUGGAACCAGGGCUGCCACUGGGACAACCUGGACAGUGCAAGAGAUGCCCAUUUUAAGAACAAAUGCGUUCUCCAUUCUGCAGGGCGGUGCUUGAGGUCCUCACUAAGGGGAGACCAGGUCCUGCGGCAGCUGUUGGCAAAGCUCCUGUGGACUUUGGUCUGGUCCAAAUUCCACCUCUUGAGUUUGACUACGGUCCAGCAGCGCCUAAGCCUGAUGCUGGCCUCCUGCCCUCCACUGAGUUUCCUCCUACAGCAACAGAACGGGGCCCGAGUUGUAUCUCGCCAAUAAAACAAAUAGAAUUAAAUGAUGCAAGGGUGUUUGAGUCGUGAUUUUCAUCAGCAUUUCCUUUUCACUGAGCUCAAAGUCUAGUUUGAAUGC